RNAcentral lists this ribosomal RNA (440 nucleotides) under uncultured bacterium. RNAcentral's name for it is "partial 16S ribosomal RNA". It matches the Rfam family "Bacterial small subunit ribosomal RNA", at positions 338 to 795 of the family's 1533-position model. The record is from RNAcentral.
CCUACGGGGGGCAGCAGUGGGGAAUAUUGCACAAUGGGGGAAACCCUGAUGCAGCGACGCCGCGUGAGCGAUGAAGUAUUUCGGUAUGUAAAGCUCUAUCAGCAGGGAAGAAAAUGACGGUACCUGACUAAGAAGCCCCGGCUAACUACGUGCCAGCAGCCGCGGUAAUACGUGGGGGGCAAGCGUUAUCCGGCGUUACUGGGUGUAAAGGGAGCGUAGACGGCGGUGCAAGCCAGAUGUGAAAGCCCGGGGCUCAACCCCGGGACUGCAUUUGGAACUGUGCUGCUGGAGUGUCGGAGAGGCAGGCGGAAUUCCUAGUGUAGCGGUGAAAUGCGUAGAUAUUAGGAGGAACACCAGUGGCGAAGGCGGCCUGCUGGACGAUGACUGACGUUGAGGCUCGAAAGCGUGGGGAGCAAACAGGAUUAGAUACCCCAGUAGUC